AGCAACAAAGUGCUGAGAUUUUGCAAGUAGAAGCUCUCUCCAAAUUUACACAAACACAUUUUUCAUCUACUUCAUCUUUAAAACCUCCGUCCCGCUCGGUAUAUUCGUAUAUUCUCGAGGUUUUAAACACCGAGGCUUUGCUUCACCCAACCAAGCCCCGUACCACUUUGCUUGCACCCAAACCACUCUUUCCGACCUCCCGAAGGGCUGUCCGAAGUUCGUCCAUAAGCCAAAUUCCUACCGAACCUCCGGCGAAUUUUUCCGGCGAACUUUUUACGAAAAUCGUGUAAGUGGUUUCUUUAGCUUCGUCUUAUCCGAGUCUUAACCGACCGAAUUUAAAAGAGCUAUCAAGCCAAAAUUCUCUUCAUCUCAAAGCUCUCUUUUUCUUUAACAAUACAAAGCACAAGAGUUGGCCGCUCGUAUUAUCUAUAAUAUACCUACGUGUGCGUGUGUGUGUUAUACCCUAUCUUGUUGACGUGAAGAUUCUCAUACGUGCUGAGCUUUCGUGAGAAUAUUUGCUUAAACGAGUUUGGUGGUGGUCCUCACCUUAGUGAGUUGAUUUAUACGUAUAUUUAUAUAUAUCACCAACACUUUGUUCACACACCACAAAAUACCCGUAGCUUGUCCCACGCGAGAUUCGCUCGGUAUUUCUAAAAUCAACUAUAUACACAUAUUAUAGCGCGGAUAUUAUCGCGGAUUAUUGUGGCCCAAAACUCUAUAUCAUAGUGCAAUUGUUAAAGAUAGUCAAGAACUCACUCUCUCGUGCAAAACGAUAUUUAUAUUUAAAGAGGGGUUAUCUUGAAACGAAGUUGUAAAAUAAAACACUUCGUAAUAUUCACUUCGAAGGUUAUCAUACCCGAAGUAUUUCAUAUACUUAGUCAAAGACAAGUAUAUUCGUCCAUAUAGCCAAAAGAGCUUAAAAGGACUUAUUUUAUCUACAAACUCCAAGACACUCAAAUAUCAUUUAUUUGGAGGAUUUUGUACGAUAAACGUAUUCUUCGAUUAUAAAUACAAAUCUAUCGAAAAAGAAUACUUGCAAGGUCUUAAGCUUUAUAAAAGCUUAAAGGACACUUGAUCUUUAAUAUUCUAAGACCAAGAAUAUUAUUGAAACACUCGGACUAGUGAAUCUUGUCCAAAACUCUUUUUAUAACCAAGGUUGUCUUUCGUAGAUAUUGUUUUCUAGAUUUUGCAGUGAGGUGAAGUGAAGUGAGGUGAUCUUCGUUCUAAGACCCAAGUCCUAGACGAGCUAACGGGGAGUUAGUCGUCUUCGCACCGUGAGGAAGAGGAAAGACCCAAGACCUAAGACCUAAGAUCCAAGACCCGCUUAAGGCUAGAAGAACAAAGACUACACAUUGAGAGAUACAACGAUUUUGAGGAGGUGACGGGGAGUUACGCUCCAAGACAAGUCUUGUAAUUUACAUUUAUAGUGAGGAGGUAACGGGAAGUUACGCUCCAAGAUAUAUAUUUGUAAAGGCUUCUCCGCCUACUGUAAAGGAGUUUCUUUAUAGUAGAGAAAAUCUCGAGUCCGGGGAGGAGCUCGGGGACUGGAGUAGGGGUGAGUGGACUCCAAGGGUUGAGUUAGCCACCGCGAACCAGGAUAAAAUCGCUCGUGUGGUAUUUGUCUUUCUUUUCAUUUACUUCCGCACAUCAUAACUGCUAAAACUCUCGAUACAAGCUUUUAAAAAGGGGAUAAACUUUUUAAAACUACACUAUUAUUUUUAAAUUGGCUAUUAAGCUAUUCAACCCCCCCUUCUAGCUUAAUUAUCCCCUAUAUCGGGACCUAACAUAUUCAUUAAAAUUCUGAGCCUGUCUUAGAGCAACAGUCAUGGGUUUCCAAUCUCUAGGUAAAGCUCUCAAGAAUUUGAGAUUUGAAUCCUUGACCAUGUAGAUUCUACCAUACAACUUUAAUCCAUUUAACAGUUUUUGAAAUCUGUUAAACAAAUCAUUUAGAGAUUCACCAGAUUUAGAGUGAAAGCUCUCAUACUGUUGAACAAACAGCUGCAUUUUGUUUUCCCUAACUUGAUCAGUGCCUUCACAUAAGGUUUGAAUGGUAUCCCAUACUUCCUUUGCAGUUGGACAGUUGAUAACACUAUCAAACAUGUCAUCAUCAAUACCAUUGAACAGAAUGUUCAUAGCCUUGUUAUCCUUGUGCACUUCUUUCUCAUCUUCCUCAGUGAACUCAGAAGGAUUUUUAGGCACUUCAACAUCUUCAGCUUCACUUCCAGCAAGUCUCAGGGCAGUGUUGAUCUUAACUGGAACAUGUGGUCCUUUCUCAAUACAGUUAAUGUAGCUAGGAUCCAAGGAGAGUAGAUGCAUCCUCAUUUUCACUUUCCAAUGAAAGUAGUGUUCUUUGACCAGCAUUGGAAUCUUGACUCCUUCAUCUCUUCUUCCUAUUGUUGAUUGUCUUUAGGAUCUAAAACUUCUUGUAUGUUAGAAACCUCGCUCUGAUACCAAUUGUUAUUCAGACAAUUCAAACAAUAAGUUAGAUUGUAGAAGGGGGGGUUGAAUACAAUCUACAAAAAAUUCAAUAUCUUUUUGCAGAGCAGAUCAUAUUCAAAAUACAAGAGAAUAUAAAAGCUAAAAGAGAAAUUUAAAGAACAAGGAUCUUAAAAAUUUCAGGUGGAUUGUUUGAUCCACCUGAGAGAUUUUUAUAUCAAGAACCUUCCAAGUAAAAAUACUUGGCUGCUUACAAAAGAAUGAAGAGCAGAAGCUUACAAUUUCUUGCUAACUUUCUCUAAUGCUUUGCUCUUCAGUUCUUGGUGUUUGAAUACUUUGAAAUGUGAAAUUACAAAGUGAAUAUAUACUACUACAAACAAAACUAGUCUGUAAAAGUAUUUUCCUACUCACUUUCUAGCUAGUACAAAUAUAGAAUUUCUUGGACUUGAUACUGCAUUUGGCAGCUUGAAAUUCUUGUUGCUUUGCCAGAAAUGGUAGGCUUCGAGGUUCUCAAUAUUUGACUAAACUCCUUUUGGUUUAGCUUCCAAAGCUGGUGCAGCAUCUGUCACAUCAACCCAUGUGAACUUUGUCUUUUCCCUGACUUGUAGCUGUCAAUUGCUGAUAAUCAAUUGCUAAUAUCAUCAAUUGAUGAUACACUGAAAUAGCAGUUGAUAGUCUUCUUUGAGUUAUGGGAUAAUGAUGAUGUUGAUGUAGCGGUUGAUAAUCUUCUUUCCAAAUAGCCAUUGAUACUUUAAAUUACCGAUCGAUCUUCACUUCACUUGAAUAGAUUACAUGACUUCUCAUAUUUACAAUUAUGUCACCCUAUCUAAACAUCCAUUGAUAGAUCAACUGCUAAUCUAAAAGUACACAUUAUUUUUACAUCAACUGCUAAAAUGCUCUAGCUUUGUUACAAUACCUCAUCAACCGUUGAUAGGUCAAUCUGAUCAAUUGAUACUUGGCGCCGCUGCCGGGGACUAAAAUUAAUUUUCGCAACUUAAUUUUUAAUUUUUCGGAUUAGUUUUUUUUUAUAUUCUCUCACUUCUCGAUCUUCACUUCACUUGGAUAGAUUACAUGACUUCUCAUAUUUACAAUUAUGUCACCCUAUCUAAACAUCCAUUGAUAGAUCAACUGCUAAUCUAAAAGUACACAUUAUUUUACAUCAACUGCUAAAAUGCUCCAGCUUUGUUACAAUACCUCAUCAGCCGUUGAUGGGUCAAUCUGAUCAAUUGAUACUGUCUUAGCAUGCUACCAAUUGAUCAGCUACAUGCAAUUUUAUUCUAAGUAAGAAUAAAAUACCUUGUAUCAUCAAGCAUCACAUAUUCCUAACACAAGUUUUUGGCGCCGCUGCCGGGGACUAAAAUUAAUUUUCGCGCCUUAAUUUUUUAAUUUUUCGGAUUAGUUUUUUUUCAUAUUCUCUCACUUCUUUUUGGUUAAAUUUUAGAAAUUGGAGGAAUAUGAGCUAACUUGGAAUAAGUGGAGACUAUUCUUGGAGUAUUGGAAACUUUGCUUGGGUAACUUGUAUCUCUCUCCUAUUUCACUUUUUUUUUCUUUAGAAAAUCACAAAAAAAAAAUUAAAUUGAAAAAACACAAACAAAUUGAAAAUUUAAAAUCCAAAAAUAUUAGUUAGAAAUACAUAUGUGUUGCAUCAUGCAUUUAAUCACUUAGGGCACAUCAUUUAGAUUUUACUUUUUGUUUUUAAAUUUUCGUACCUUUAUUUGUGGUGAUCGCUGGAGGACCCAAAGGUACGUUAAUUUCUUUCUUUCUCUAGAAUAGGACACGUAGUUUAAGCAUCCAUAAAUGUUUAUCGCUUUAAUUUUAUUGUUGUGUGGAGCAUCAUUUAAAUAAAUCUUAAGGGCAAAACCACUCAUAAGAUAAGGGAAGGGAUUUCAUCACUCUUUCCUUGGCCCACAACAAUUUAAUUCUUCAUUUUGCAUUCCCUAGCCUUUUAAUAAAAUUGAAUUAGACGUUAGCCCCUAGGAUUUCGCGCUCAAUUAGGAAGGUACCUAAAAUACGAGGUAAUCUUUAAUUAUUCCGACUCUUCGGUGUCUAAGGCAAGCGAAAGCUUACCUGGCCGAUUAAGGUUUGGUGUCUAAGCGCGGAGAUUGGCCUCUUGGCAAUGCCUGCUAAAUGCCUGCUCCAAACUGGCCANNNNNNNNNNNNNNNNNNNNNNNNNNNNNNNNNNNNNNNNNNNNNNNNUUUUUUGCACUUAUUUGCUGCUCCAAACUGGCCAAACCGGUCCGAAUAAUAAUUGAUUUAUCGAGUUUUUGGUGGUCCUUACGGUUAGGAGCAAGGUCUAGUCGUUUUAUUAGGCAACCAUAGAACUAGGUUUUUCUUUCGCUUUUACACCCUUUCUUUUGUGUGUUUUAAUUUUUUUUUUUGCACUUAUUUGCUACAUGUUUAUCGUUUAUGCGAACUACUUGGGUUAGGAACGAAUCAUCUAGAUUAGUUAAAUCGAUAAUCGAGAUUCCUUUGUCAUCCUCUUCGGACUCCGAACCCAUAGAAGCUAGCAAUUCGAUAUUAAACAUGGCCGUGUCUCUUAAAGACCGUUGUUACCCGUCCCGUUCCGCUCAACCUUCGUGUAUCACCCUUCCUCCCGUUAAUGGGAAUAAUUUUGAAAUCAAGGCACAUCACAUUAGUAUGUGUGCCUAAGUUUUUAGGGAGUGAAGGUGAGGAUCCCUACCUUUUUAUCCAAGAAUUUGAGGAGGUUUGUGGUUGACAAAAACUCCAACAAUUGAGUGAAGACUCCAUUAGGCUUAGACUAAUCAACUUCGCUUUAAAAGAAAAUGCUAAAAAAUGGUUGUAUAGUCUUCCCGUUAAUUCUAUUUCCACUUGGGAGGGGUUUGUGGUAGUGUUUCUUAAAAAGUAUUUUCCAAACCAUAAGACAACUCGAAUUACAAACGAAAUAAAUCAAUUUCGACAAAAGGAAAAUGAGUCUUUUUGGAAAUUCUUUGAUCGUUUCAAAAAUCUUCUAUCACAAUGCCCCCACCAUGGAAUUGAAAAAUGGAGACUUUGCAAAAUUGUUUACGAGGCCUUAGAUAGUCAAACAACCGCUUUGUUAGAGUCUAUGUGCUCUCUGUUAUAUAUUCUAUAGGCUAUAACAAAUGAUAUUGUGGCCAACUCUUUUUAAUGCAGAAUUGGAAGAAGCUUUUCCUUGUUCAUUUGUGUGAGAUAUAGUUUUUUGCAAUGCUGAAAAUUUGAAACUUCUUGGAGUUUCACUACUUGAACUCUAUGAUAAUAUUCAGGUAUCCUGAAUUUGAAAUUGUUUGUUCAAAGGCAGAGUAGUAUUGAAUUCUGUUAUAUAGCCUUAUUCCUAAAUACAGAAGGAUCAAACAUAUUCUUUGGUUUUGUGCAGGCAAAUAAUUUUUGUUCAGUGCCAUAUCGAACUUUUCGCUCUAUCUAAUUAUAUUUUUAUUAUAUUAAAGUUUUUGAAUGAAAUUAUGUCACAUUAAAGCUUUAGUCCUUGAUUUUUAUUGUCCUCCAUAAUUAUUUCCUUAUGAUUAUUUCUUAUUUUUGUCCAAUCUUUUUGCUUGCAGAGAUACCGGCUAGCUAUAUCCGUCAUUCUUCUUCAAUCGUCUAGAUAUGGGUUUUACCACGUCACAGGCAUAGAGGACUUUAGGAGCUCAUACACAUGUAGUUCAUUAGGUAUCUGACUUCAAUCGUACUUUAGAAGAUAAAUACCGAGAUACUUUUGAAUCCUACUUCAGUUGGCUAUUCGAUAGUAUUUAGUUCUUGGAUGCUUGGAUUAUGUAUUAAGAUGAUUCUAAGAUAUUUUGAAUCAUUUUUAUGUAUAUUGGGAGGCUUCACAUCUUUUAAUGGAAAAUAACUUUUUAAAAUAUCAUGUUUUGUCUUUUUUAUUAAAAGUGUUGGUAAUUUGUUAGCAAAAUGUAGCCAUAUGACUCCAAACUGUUAAGCCGUAUGUGUUGGCAAAAGAAUAAAAGAGCGUAGCCAAAAAUAUAUAUAAGUCUACAGUAACAUUUUUCUUGGUGUAACUAUAAAGAAAACAGUGUUGGCAUAAGUCUAUAGUAACGUAUAAAUCAGUAUAGUCAUAGAGCCCAAGGUGUUGGCAAAAGGGGUCUAUAAUCACACUUUUAGUGGUGUUGUCAUAAACAUCAAAAAGUGUUGCCUCAGACCCCUAUGGUAGCGGCGAUUUUUGUAACACCCCCAAAUUUGGCCAAAGUGUAGCCAUAGCACUUUUUUUUGCUUUCAGUAACAGUUUUUUGACUUUUGAACACAUUUUUUUUGGUGUUACUGAAGGUCAUAUAUGGUGUAGUGGAAUUUUUCGAGGAUUUAGCUGAAAAGACUAUGUUGUGGGAGUCAACUAGGGAACCUAAAAAGUCGAUCGAGUCGUCUAGCUCUAGCUCUAGCUCUAGGGGUUUGCACUCGAUAGGAAACAAUGUGGCAACCGAUGCCAAAUUAGCAACCCUUACUAAGAGACUCGAAGCUUUGGAGUCUCAUAGUGGCCCUUCACUUUUGCCUAUGUUCCCGAACUAUAAUGCUUCCCAUCCCGAGAUCCAACAAUCUCACGAUUUUGAGCAAGUGAACGCGAAUUAAAAACCCCGGAACCCAACCUCCGCAAGAACCUGAACAAGUAAAUGCGAUGUUCCAAAAUUCUAGGAAUGAUGCGUUUGCACCCACUUAUAAUCCCGGGUGGAGAAAUCUCCCAAAUUUCUCAUGGACCCAAGGUCAAAAUUGUCAAGUUCCUCAACCCAAUUUUCAAAUGAAUCAAGGGCCAAAUUCUUUUCCAACUCCUCAAAAAAAUUUUCAACAAAGGCCCAACCCAAACUCUUACCCAAAUCAAGGUCCAAAUUCAUGUCAUAACCCAAUUCAAACUCCUUUGAAUCCUCCUCGUUUCAAUGAUUCGGAUAAACGGCUCAAUUCUUUAGAAAAGAGUUUGGAAGCCUUAGUUAAAUUGCAAACUAAUUUGACUCAAUCACAACAAACCUUCAUGACAACCCUAACCCAAGAUAGGCAAAUUUUGCAUUCUAAUGUGCAAGCCGUGUCUAAGUUAGAGGCCCAAUUGAGUCAAUUAGCUAGCGCGUUGUGUGAGCGAGAGAAGAACAAGUUGCCAAGUCAACCCGAGGUCAAUCCUAAGUUUCCUCUCAAUCAAAGACCUCCCGAGAAUGUUAAUGCCAUUAUUUCUCUAAGGUCGGGAAACCAAGUGGAUAACAAAGUUGGUGAGAACAUUAAUGAAAAUGAGAAAUCGAGUCCUAAAUCAAAUCCUUCUUUUUCUAGCACUAAUCAUGAUAAGCCCGAAUGUUCUCGAAUCCGUGAGUCCAUGAGUGAUUCGAUUCCUAACCCAAACCCUUCUUUGUCUAGCACUAAUCAUGACAAACCCGAAUGUUCUAGAGUCCGUGAGUCUAUGAGUGAACCUGGUUCCAGGCCCAUUUCUCAAAAGCCCAACGAAGAAGUUUAUAAGCCAAAGGUUCCUUACCCACAAAGACUCAUUCGUCCUAAACAAUCGGCCCAAAUGGAACAAAUUCUAGAGGUUUUCAAACAAGUCAAGAUAAACAUUCCUCUUUUAGAUGCCAUUCAACAAGUUCCUUCCUAUGCCAAGUGUCUAAAAGAUUUGUGUACCCAUAAGAGAACCACUAAUGUUCCAAAGAAAGCCUUUUUGACCUCUCAAGUUAGCUCGAUUCUCUCGAAUCAAUUUCCCGUGAAAUAUAAGGACCCCGGUUGUCCUACAAUUUCUUGUGUCAUAGGCAAUACUUUUGUGGAUAAAGCUUUACUUGAUUCAGGAGCGAGUUUGAAUCUUCUUCCUUUCUCGGUCUACCAAUCCCUAGGUUUAGGGGAUCUCAAGACCACCAAUAUGACCCUUCAACUUGCCGAUCGUUCCAUUAAAAUGCCAAAGGGGAUUAUUGAGGAUGUGUUGAUAAAAAUCGGUGAUUUUAUCUUUCCCGUUGACUUUGUUGUUCUCGAGACUCAACCCGUCUCGAAUCCUAAGAACCAAAUUCCUAUCAUUUUAGGACGACCUUUUCUUGCUACAUCCAAUGCCUUAAUCAAUUGUAGGAACGGUUCAAUGAAGCUCAUAUUCGGAAACAUGACCAUUGACUUAAACAUUUUCAAUGUAGGAAAAGAACCCAAUGAGCUUUAUGAACAACCGAUAGGGGUUAAUGUGGUCAACAAGUUUGUCACGUGGUCUAUCGAGGAUAGUGAAAUUGAGUCACUUCUUAAUGACGAUUUCAAAGUCAACAAUGAGAAUAAUAGAGAAUAUCACGAGUCUUUGAGAGAGUUGACCUCGGAGGAGAUGUUAGGAGAAUUGAACGACAUUUGUUCAAAAUGGGAAACUCCACCCGAGAUGGUUAGUGUUGACCCUAGGCCCGAUUUUGAGAGUCAUGGAGGUGAACCACCGACAUUUGACUCAUUGUUCCAUCAUUCACAUAGCGCCUUAGGAAAGGAUGACAUCAUUUCUUACAUCGUUCCUAGUGAUUUAUCCUAUGACCAAAAUUGCAUAGUCUCUAAUUUGCUUGAUAAUAAAGAAGCAUUCAGUUGGUUUGGGAAAAACAUUAGUGAUGCUUCUCAUAUAUGGGUAAACGAUGGUCACAUGCUCGAGAAAGCCUUUGUGCCUAAAAAUUUUCGUACACUUUUUGACUCUUUCUCGAAGCUUCCUCCCAUUUUUCCUUCCGGAAUUGGCUGAAGUGGUUCCUUCAGGUAUGGGGAAGGAAAUGUGUGAGUGUGUGUGGGUUGUUUUAGUGUUUCGUUCGUUAAUAAAAAUCCCCUUCAUCUCCUAUUCAGGUAUUUUUCCUCUUUACUCUCUCAUUUCAGUUCUCUCUUUUGCAUACAUUGAGGACAAUGCAUAAUUUAGGUAUAAGGAGGGCUUUAGUGUAAUUCUUAAAAAAUGAAAAACCCUAAAAAAUGAAAAAUUAGAAAAAUCCAAAAAUAGAGAUCUUUUAGCUAAGUUGUCAUUCCCUCACUCAAACUUUAGAAGUAGUUGGUGUUUAGCAUGUUUUCAAAAAGUAUAUAUAUGUAGUGUCUUUUAGAUAAUUUGAACGUAGUUGAGUAAGGUUAUCUUUUUGAAACUUGUAUCGACCGAUUUGUACUCGUAAUUCCAAGAUGGCACACACAUUUGCACAAGACCUUUGAUGGAGAGAUUGUCUAGUGAUAUUAUUCGAUACCUGAGAGAGAACCCACAUGUUGAAACAAUGUCGAAUCGAACCUUUGCGAAUAAAAAAAUAGAAAAGAAAAAAAAGAAGAGAGAUAAAAAAAAAGGAAUAACUACUUCAAUACCCAUUGUUCUUUAUAGACUAAAAUCUUUAGAUAAAGUGGACAAAAGUAGAUUGGCUAGUCUCGUUUUGUGGCCUUUGUUAUUCGAGUGAUUAAGUCCGUCGGGGGAUUUCAAAACCUAGUGCCCUAAGACCGUUUGGUUUGGGAGUCACUGACCUAAAGCUCGCUACAUGGGUAACAUUGUUUGCCUAAGAAAACGGACAAAAUAAAGUCAAUGCAAAAAAAAAAAAGAAAAAAGGAAAAAAAGAAAGAAAGGAAAAGAAAUAAGAAGUUUGUGAAGUUUGGCUAGAUAUUUGUUUCGUAUAGAGAUUGGGCCGAGUUCAAAAUUAGGUUGAAAAAUAAAUCCAAACUCCACAAUACAAAUUCCACAUAAUUUCACUAUAACUUACUAAAAUUCUGCAAAUACUAAAAUUCUACCAAAAAAUACUAAAGUUCUAUCGAUACUAAAAUAUUAUCACAAUACUAAAAUUCCACAGACCAAAUUUUAUGAAGUAAUGUCGUCAUGGUGAUCACCUACGGCUGAAGCAUUCGGCACUGCAGCAGUUAGCUCUACAAUAUCGAGCUUCAAUUCUGGAAUUUUUUCUGCCAGUUUGGACAUCAACAACUUGACAUUAUCUCGAACCUUCUUGUCCACUUUUUCUUCCAUCUUUUGCGCAAUUUGAUCCUGAAUCUUUUCAGUCAAAAUAGUCACCAUUUCGAAAGUAACCCGGAAUUCGGAUAAUUUAUCUUCUCAUUAUUUUUCCUUCAAGAAAAAUAUAUAUGUUAGCCCCAUUUCUUCAACGACCAACUGUGAAGUAUUUUAUACAUUAGGAAAAAUUAAAAGGUAUAUCUUAUAGAAACUCUAAUCUGAAAUUGAAGAGAUAUUGAUUCACCUGGUCGUUAUUAAUGAUGUAGUGGUCGCCUAUGUCAAACGGGUGCAUCACAAUAGCUUGCAUGAUUCCUUCACAAAUGAUAUUCCGAUAAUCGUCAGACAUAUAUGCUAGUACUAAUAGAUGAGACGACGAAUUGUACCUUAAAUAUUGGAUGUUCUGUUGCCCAUCAAAAGGCACCAGACAAGAGCAACCAGGAAGGAUAGGUUCACCAAGAUAAUUUUCUUCAAAUGAUGUAUGACAUGCUAAUAUUAUUUAAGAGAAAAACCAUGAGUUUUCGCUACCUGUAAAACAGGCAUAUUAUGCUCUUAAGAUUAAAAACUCUAAUCAAAUUCCACUUUGUGUAUAGCGUGCAAUUCAUGGAUAUGGUGAGGAUACUGGUAUUGAUACAUGGGCGAUACAUAUCAAUCUGAAAAUAUGAAACAGAUUAAGAAUAAAUCAUUAUAUUACCAUCCAUUUCCUUAAAGAUAUAUACUUCACUAAUAUUUUUUCUUUCUGUGGCUCCUUCAAACAAUCGAAGAACCUUUAGUAUGUCUUCUUCCUUCAUGAUCAAGAGAAGAUAAGUCUCUUGUAUAUCCCUAUUUAACAAUAAAUUAAGUAAAAUUUCAAGUUAAUUAUUAGAAAAAAACAGAGAAAGGUUUGCUUGUGUGAAAAUGAAGAUAUUAGUAAUUACCUAAGCUCUUUGUUCAUUAAAUUCUUGUAGACCUUAAAAAUAAGAUAUUUAGUCUGUUGCUUAUCGUCAAAAUUACCAUUGUCAAGUGCACUAGAAAUGGUGUGUAACCUUGUGCUGAAAAGAAACAUAUCAGCAAAUAUACUCUCAGAGUACAGUUUUAUACGUACAUGAUGAUAGGGGGGAGCAUUAGAGCAUGAUAUCUUUUUUAGCAUAUUUAUACACAAUAAACACAUCAACUUUAGCAUAUAAACUAUUAACCCCAUUCCUAUGUCAAGUAAAAUUAUAGAAGACACUUAAACUGAGACCUCUUUUUUCUUCAUUUCUCCCAGGCAAGUCUCGAGUCGCCUAUGAUAAUUUGUAUAACCACAGAUCAGAGUAGAACCUCUUUUCGCCAUUCCAUGUUCCUCUGCAGCCUAGAAAGAACAAAUGGAAAAUAUCAGUGUGCAAUGUCAAAUAUAUUAGACAUUCGAUCAGAUAAUAAUUGUAAAAUUAGAAACUGUUAAGCAUACCUUUGCAGACGCCUUUCCUAGUGAAGGAUGUAAAUUCAAACCCAUGUAAUCAUUUCUGGAGAAUAUAAGUAGCUUUCUGAACUUUUGAAGGGUUGCGUCCACUUCUCUAUCAGCCCCUGUACCACGUGAUACGUGAUCAUCUCCUAUCAAAUACAGGCCCACAUAUAACAAACAUAUACGCAAAACCACGCUCUAGGAAACUAGACAGAUUCACCUAAACAGACUACAACCACAAGAAACACACACACAAAUAUUCAAAGCAUAUGUUAUAUAUGAAAAAUAUUUAAAGCAUCUGUUAUAAAAAAAAAAAUUCAAAAUAAUUAUAGGAUUGUUUUACAAUUCAUUCAAGGAACAUCAACAUCAAAGUUCUGCAAUAAGAGCAACCUUGUGAAACAAUUAUUUGCAAUUGAAACAGGAACGGAAUCAAGCUAUUAAGUGUCUUGGACAUGUGCCAAAUGAACUAAAGGAAAAUGAUUUGCUUGUAUCCACACUAACAAACUAACUCAUAACGCAGUUCUAAAUAAUCAUAAGAUGAGUUAAUUAGUUAGCAACCCUAGCCCUUCUUCAUCGAUUUCUAGCAUAUAAUCUAACAUUUAAAUUCCCGCAAAAAUAUACAUCGAGAAAAGUUACUCACUGUUUGAAUUAACAGCACCAUUAGCAACACACGAACACAUGAUGCAUUUGUACCGAAAAUCUUGAAUAAAACCUACUCACAGGCACUUAAUCAAACAGAUGGUGUGCAAACACGUAUAAGUGGUACCAUGAACAUCGAAUGAUCUAACACUAUUUAUAUUAGAACCCCCAAAUUACGAAUUUACAAUUAGGGUUUUAAAACCCCCAAAUUAACAAAAUUAAUUUAGAGAAAUACCUUAUAAUGUUAUAGUCGGACCAAAUUCAAGCUACGAGAAGAAAGUUACUGAGCUCCGAGACAAGAACUAAAACAGCGAGAUAUGCUUCCUGUAUAUAAUCGUCGGACCCUUUCCUUGUAUAAGCAGCGAGAUAAGCUCCGAGACAAGCUUCGAGAGAUGAAAGAGUGAGAUGAGAGAGAUGAAAGGAAUGAAAGAAUGAGAUGGGAGAGAUGAAUGAGAGAUGUGAAAUGCGAGAGAUGCGAGAUAGAUAGUGAGAGAUGCGAGAGAGAGCGAGAGUGAGCCGAGAGAAAGAAUUGGUUUUAGUUUUAAUUUUAUUGUUAUGUUUUAUUUGUGUGAGUGAUGGGAUGGGCGGUUGCUUAAUUUAUUUUUAAUAAAUUCAGAGUUGAAAAGGCGGGUUGUUUCCCUCCUGUUAAUUUUAACACAUCUUUAAGGUAACAUCGCACAAAAUGUUGGCAUUGAGGGUUUGUUUUAGUUAUGACAACAUUUAUCUUAUUAAUGGCAACACCGAAAAUGCGAUGUUGGCAUACACCUGCUUCAAUCAAAUUUUAAGCAUCUAAGGCAACAUUUUAGGUGGCAACAUCAGUUUGUAAUGUUAGGAUAGACCAAAUAUGGUGUAGUGCGCCUAGUGAUAUUAUUCGAUACCUGAGAGAGAACCCACAUGUUGAAACAAUGUCGAAUCGAACCUUUGCGAAUAAAAAAAAAAAGAGAAAUAGAAAAAGAAAAAGGAAUAAGCUACUUCAAUACCCAUUGUUCUUUAUAAAUAAAAUCUUUAGAUAAAUGGGCAAAAGUAGAUUGGCUAGUCUCGUUUUGUGGCCUUUGUUACUCGAGCAAUUAAGUCCGUAGGGGGAUUUCAAAACCUAGUGCCCUAAGACCGUUUGGUUUGGGAGUCACUGACCCAAAGCUCGCUACAUGGGUAACACUGUUUGCCUAAGAAAACGGACAAAAUAAAGUCAAUGCAAAAAAAAAAAAAAAAAAAAAAGAAACAAAAAAAAAAGAAAAAAAAGGAAGAAUAAGAGUUUGUGAAGUUUGGCUAGAUAUUUGUUUCGAUAGAGAUUGGGUCAGUUCAAAAUUGGUUGAAAAAGAGAAAAUAUUCUUAGACGAUUAGGAUCCAUCAAAGGCCUUAAAAUUCAUUACACUCCUUGGAUUUCUAGUAAAUUUUUGUGUCGAGUCAAGUAGAUUAGAGGCAAUUGUAUCUUGAUUAUUAGUAAAAGAGUCUUCGAGUCGUAUUUUCCUUAAAAACAAUUUUUGUUAACACCAGCGAAAUUAGAGUAGAGUCGAGUAGACACUUGCUAGAAUGUCUCACAGAUUUUAUGGGUAUAUCUUCUGUAAACCCUUAGGAGACAAAACUCCUUUUGUAGAGAUCGUCUACGAGUUUAACGGGUUGGUGAACCUAAAAUCACCCGUCACGCCUACGAAAAGGAGCCUAGGAAUCGCAUCUAGUUUUCUUAGUUUAUUUUCUUUUCUUUUGAUUUUCACUCGAGGACGAGCAAAAUUUAGGUAUGGGGACGUUUGAUAGGUCCAUUAUUUUGCAUAUUUUAACUACCUAUUUAUUGCUUGUUUUCAUAUUUUAUUAGUUAAUUGUUUUGUUUUCAGGAAUUUUUAGGGAAAUCGAGAAUUCAAGAGAAAAAGGAACAAAAAGGUGCAAGAAGGGAAAAAGAGGAAGAAAAAGAAAAUAAAAAGAAGAAGAAGAAAAAAAAAGGAAAAGAAAAUCAAAACACAAA
This 14298-nucleotide long non-coding RNA is filed under the name Daucus carota (carrot). Its description in RNAcentral is "long non-coding RNA (DCAR_LNC007640)". The record is from RNAcentral. Lineage: Eukaryota; Viridiplantae; Streptophyta; Magnoliopsida; Apiales; Apiaceae.